This 327-nucleotide ribosomal RNA is filed under the name uncultured eukaryote. Its description in RNAcentral is "partial 18S ribosomal RNA". It matches the Rfam family "Eukaryotic small subunit ribosomal RNA", at positions 1470 to 1796 of the family's 1831-position model. The record is from RNAcentral.
CCCUUAGAUGUUCUGGGCCGCGCGCGCGCUACACUGACGAAUGCAACGAGCUUAUAACCUUGGCCGAAAGGUCUGGGUAAUCUCCAAAUUUCGUCGUGAUGGGGAUAGAUUAUUGCAAUUAUUAAUCUUCAACGAGGAAUGCCUAGUAAGCGCAAGUCAUCAGCUUGCGUUGAUUACGUCCCUGCCCUUUGUACACACCGCCCGUCGCUCCUACCGAUUGAAUGGUCCGGUGAAGCGUUCGGACCGUGGCCUUUGGACGGUUCGCCGUCUGUUGGCUGCGGGAAGUUCGUUAAACCUUAUCAUUUAGAGGAAGGAGAAGUCGCAACA